This is a ribosomal RNA of Moraxella macacae 0408225, 114 nucleotides long. The record is from Rfam. Lineage: Bacteria; Pseudomonadati; Pseudomonadota; Gammaproteobacteria; Moraxellales; Moraxellaceae.
GCUGACGAUUAUAGCUUGUUGGUACCACCUGAUCCCUUCUCGAACUCAGAAGUGAAACAACAAUACGCCGAUGGUAGUGUGGUUUUCCCAUGUGAGAGUAGGUAAUCGUCAGCU